RNAcentral lists this microRNA (19 nucleotides) under Corchorus olitorius. RNAcentral's name for it is "cin-miR-4145-". The record is from RNAcentral. Lineage: Eukaryota; Viridiplantae; Streptophyta; Magnoliopsida; Malvales; Malvaceae.
AAUGAAAUUGUUGAUUUGG